This 351-nucleotide long non-coding RNA is filed under the name Heterocephalus glaber (naked mole-rat). Its description in RNAcentral is "lncRNA (ENSHGLG00000038142.1)". Lineage: Eukaryota; Metazoa; Chordata; Mammalia; Rodentia; Bathyergidae. The record is from RNAcentral.
CUGUAGCAGCUUCCGCAAUAAACGAGACUUGAUCAGAAACCUGUCUUGUCUCCAUCUCUCGUGUCCCCUGUCCUUUGUCAUUCUCACUCCCCCUCUAGGGUCUCCGUUGACUUACCGGCGGGACGGGACAAGUGGCGCCCAACGUGGGGCCCGAGAACGGGGGAUCCAGUGAAGAACGCUGCUCGGGGGCCCAAUAAAAUAGAAAAAAGAGGAUUGCGUUUGACGUGAACCUGCCGUCUUUCCUGCACCUCGACAACCUGGACUCUGAUUGAGCACUGUACUACUGUAAACUACUGCAUUGUACGUGAAAAUUCUCCUAGGCCAUUGAAGAAGUAAAUGACUACAAGGGAC